GAGGGCAUAGCUCAGUGGUAGAGCGUGUGCCUAGCAUGCACGAGGUCCUGGGUUCGAUCCCCAGCACCUCCA
This 72-nucleotide transfer RNA is filed under the name Camelus bactrianus (Bactrian camel). It matches the Rfam family "tRNA". From Rfam's summary of the family: Transfer RNA (tRNA) molecules are approximately 80 nucleotides in length. Their secondary structure includes four short double-helical elements and three loops (D, anti-codon, and T loops). Further hydrogen bonds mediate the characteristic L-shaped molecular structure. tRNAs have two regions of fundamental functional importance: the anti-codon, which is responsible for specific mRNA codon recognition, and the 3' end, to which the tRNAs corresponding amino acid is attached (by aminoacyl-tRNA synthetases). tRNAs cope with the degeneracy of the genetic code in two manners: having more than one tRNA (with a specific anti-codon) for a particular amino acid; and 'wobble' base-pairing, i.e. permitting non-standard base-pairing at the 3rd anti-codon position. RNAcentral also lists the same sequence under 1 other name. The record is from Rfam by way of RNAcentral. Lineage: Eukaryota; Metazoa; Chordata; Mammalia; Artiodactyla; Camelidae.